GAUCCACGGACGCAGCAGUGGGGGAUAUUGCACAAUGGGGGGAACCCUGAUGCAGCGACGCCGCGUGAACGAAGAAAUAUUUCGGUAUGUAAAGUUCUAUCAGCAGGGAAGAAAAUGACAGUACCUGACCAAGAAGCCCCGGCUAACUACGUGCCAGCAGCCGCGGUAAUACGUAGGGGGCGAGCGUUAUCCGGAUUCACUGGGCGUAAAGGGAGCGCAGGCGGCACGGCAAGUCCGGUGUGAAAGCCCGGGGCCCAACCCCGGGACUGCACUGGAAACUGCCGGGCUGGAGUGUCGGAGGGGCG
This 305-nucleotide ribosomal RNA is filed under the name uncultured bacterium. RNAcentral's name for it is "bacterial SSU rRNA". It matches the Rfam family "Bacterial small subunit ribosomal RNA", at positions 335 to 659 of the family's 1533-position model. The record is from RNAcentral.